GAGAGUAUAGCUCAGUGGUACAGUGCAUGCUUGGCAUGCACAAGGUUCUGAGUUCAAUCCCCAGUACCUUUA
This 72-nucleotide transfer RNA is filed under the name Camelus bactrianus (Bactrian camel). It matches the Rfam family "tRNA". Rfam says of the family: Transfer RNA (tRNA) molecules are approximately 80 nucleotides in length. Their secondary structure includes four short double-helical elements and three loops (D, anti-codon, and T loops). The record is from Rfam by way of RNAcentral. RNAcentral also lists the same sequence under 2 other names. Lineage: Eukaryota; Metazoa; Chordata; Mammalia; Artiodactyla; Camelidae.